This is a non-coding RNA of Salvelinus sp. IW2-2015, 307 nucleotides long. The record is from RefSeq and is a predicted model, not a curated record. Lineage: Eukaryota; Metazoa; Chordata; Actinopteri; Salmoniformes; Salmonidae.
CGUUACACACACAUACUAUUGACUAGGAGCAUUAAGAUCCUUCCAUUGACCGAUUGUUUGUUAUGUCAUUGCAUUGGUCACUGAUUUUGAAUGCUUGUUUUGUUGUCGUAGGGCUGGGAGGAGGACCUGCUGCCUGAGGAGAGGGAGGUUCCUCUGCUAAACCUCUACCUUACCACCAAGAGAGUGGAGGACAUYGCCCUGAGGCUCGUCUCCCUGCGCCAGGCCUUCACUACCCUGCUUGGUUCCACCCUGAGCAGGAACCAUCUGUUUGUGGCGGGAAAGGUCCUCCUGAGCGCACUGGUUCAGG